UGCCUUUUCUUCUGGAACUUACGUGAAUAAACUAUCCUACUUUCACCGCACACACACCGUGACACACACACGCACACAUUCCUCUGUGGAGCGCCGCCUCACCUCCGGCAACCACCGCCUUCCGUUCAGCGUGACAGCCCCUGCGUGUCUCCCUCUCUGUCUCGUCACAUCUCUCCUUCCCUCCCUACACACCCACACACUUACAUCUCUCUCGGCUACAGCAGUUGUCCGACGGAUUCCGCCACCACCUUCGCCGUUUUCCGGCAGCUGUGAGUUGGAAUUGUCUCCCCUUUGUGUAACAGGAAAUAACAUGGAGAAGGAGCAGGAAUAAAGUGGAUCGUGUGUCAAAGGCAUUUUGGAUUUUGAGGUAGUAUAUUCUUCAUUGGGUCUUAAUUCCUGAAGUAAGUCUACGUGAUUGCAUAUAUAAUAUUUUGUGUUAAUCAGUGAUACAACAAUUAAUCUGUUUCAUGUUGCUUAUGACGUGAAGUAUGUGAAUUCUGGAUAUGUGAAGGUAUUGAGAUAGUUGGAACUUAAUCUAUUAAUUUGAUAUGAUGUGGUGUGACAAGAAAUUGCUGAUGUGUAAUUAGAGAUUAUUGGAAAUAAGUAUUUCGAUGAAAAAUGUGUGUUUUUGAUUGUGCUUAUGCCCCAUGCUUGAGUGUGUUCCGUGGGUACAAUUGGCAUUGCCAUAGGACAGCAGCGCUGCAUUAUCUGGGAUCACUCGUCUUCUGGAUAACCGAAGCGAGGAUCGUCUGAAAUCAAAUCUGAUCUGAUCUGUCUCUGAUAUCUGAUCUCUGCACCCUUAAUGGGUGGUCUGUGCGGAGUCCUCUUGAGGAUAAAAUCCGCGUCUGAUUUUGUUUCUGAUCUGGUCCGCGUACCCUAGUCUAUCGCUAAGCACUUAAAGGGGCUAUGUGUGUUUGAAUAUGUGAAAAUAUUGGUGAUCUGCUUGCUUAUGUGUUGUAUAUGUAUUGGUGGCUGGAUAAUAUUGCUAUGUAUUCUCCGUUUCACUCGAUUAUUAGUGUUAUGUAAUUUAGUUUGUAUUCUUAUAUGUGAUUUACGAAAUUGAUACAUGAUUAUGAAUCUGAUAAACUUUAUUAGAUCAAAGUUUGACGAGAUAAAUGUAAGAAUUUACUAUUUUUCGUUUCUGAUAUUAAGUAUAUGUGCAUGGAUAUGACGAGGUUGGUUCUUCACAAUCAAUAAUAGUGUAAAUGUAUAGAUUGCAUAGCGUUUACUUUAACUCUGGAAAUUAGGCUCUAAUGUUGAGUAUUCUACUGAGCUUGUUGAAGCUCAUUCCUUUAUUUCCCCCCUCAGAUUUGAUGGUCAGAUUAACUCCUUUGCUUCACAGCUGCUCAAGUCGAGUCACUGCCUUUGCACUUGAAUAAUUAUUUGAUGUAUUAGUGGUGGCAUGUAUAGAAAGUGUAAUGUAUUUGGACGUCUUAAUCAUUUUAGUUACAAUGAAGAAAGCACAAUGCACAUCCGUUACAAAAA
Long non-coding RNA from Salvia hispanica, 1485 nucleotides. RefSeq lists it as uncharacterized. The record is from RefSeq and is a predicted model, not a curated record. Lineage: Eukaryota; Viridiplantae; Streptophyta; Magnoliopsida; Lamiales; Lamiaceae.